RNAcentral lists this ribosomal RNA (595 nucleotides) under Eutima gracilis. RNAcentral describes it as "partial 16S ribosomal RNA". It matches the Rfam family "Bacterial large subunit ribosomal RNA", at positions 1832 to 2597 of the family's 2925-position model. Lineage: Eukaryota; Metazoa; Cnidaria; Hydrozoa; Leptothecata; Eirenidae. The record is from RNAcentral.
AGCCCUAGUAGUCAUCUAAGGUGUAACCUGCCCAGUGGCUCUUAAUUCCUAAAUUAAAAUUUUGUCAAUAGAGCUAAAAGGACGCGGUAACCUUGACCGUGAUAACGUAGCAUAAUCAUUCGCCAUUUAAUUGAUGGAUAGUAUGAAUGGUUGAACGAAUUUUUCACUGUCUUAGGAAGAAAUAAACGAAAUUGAACUAGUAGUUAAGAUGCUAUUUUAAACUGUAAGACGAAAAGACCCUAUAGAGCUUAACUAUAAUCUUUAUAUAAAACGAAAUAAAGUUAUAUUAAUUUUAUAAAGAUUGGUAGUUUAGUUGGGGCGACUGUCUUCUAAGUCUAACGAAGAUAAGCAAUAUUAAUAAAAAAAUUUAUUGUAUAAUAAAAUAAUUUAACAAUUACAACAGUAGGCUAUAAUGACCCGUUGGAAUAUUGAAAAAUAACUAACGAUUAAUUAAUAAAAGCUACCUUAGGGAUAACAGGAUAAUUUCAUUUUAGAGUCCCUAUCGAAAAUGAAGUUUGUCACCUCUAUGUUGAAUUAAGAUAACCUGAUAAUGCAGCAGUUAUCAAAGGUAGGUCUGUUCGACCUUUAAAAUCUU